RNAcentral lists this long non-coding RNA (2398 nucleotides) under Mus musculus (house mouse). Its description in RNAcentral is "long non-coding RNA chr3:17818650-17821048". The record is from RNAcentral. Lineage: Eukaryota; Metazoa; Chordata; Mammalia; Rodentia; Muridae.
CAAUAAUAUUAAUAUCAAAUACAAAUUAAAUAUAAUAAAUAUAUAAUUAUAAUUGUAAAUAUAUGUUUGUUAAAAAUAGGAAUGAUAAAUGUGGGAAAAGACCACUUCUCUGGCACAUGAACAGCUUUGGGUUUCAUCUUCAGCACAGAAUAUAUAUGCAUAUAACAUAUCCCUUCCCAAUGCUUCCAAGUCUUGUCAGAUAGUUUGAAGUCCACAGGUUUUUUUUUUGUUUGUUUGUUUUUGCUUUUUUGUUUUUUUGUUUUUUUUUUUUACAUUUUAUCCUGAGCAAAUAAUGUGAGCUUCAGGAUAAAAUGUAAUAAAUAGUCUUUGUGGCUAUGAGAUACAAUAUUAUACAGUAACUGAGAUUACAUUAACAAUCAAAUUUUAUAUGGAUUUCUUUUCUUUGGUAAGAUAAUUGUUAAAAUGAAGGUUGAGGGCCCACUGUAUUGGUGCCAAGCAAUAAAAGGGGGUUGAGUUUCAUGACCUCAAGUAUAGAGAGCAAGCCGUCACUGCUUACGGAGGAAGGAAUCACAGAAUCUGUUUCAUUGAAAAUUACACAAUAGUCACACAGCAGCUAGACAGACAGUGUGGGAGCAAAAUACACAGACUGAACCAGCGCACUUGGGUUCAGUCUUGUAGGUUGUUGUCCAGUCCAGGCGCCCACCUUUUCAUUUUUUACAUACAGAGAAAGAACUCUCUAAUGAUUUAAAAUGACUUUGUCCUUUAUAAUGUAGUGCUUGCAGCAGUUGAAGAAUCUACCAUCACUAAAAGUAAGGACUGAAGAGAACUCUAAUAUCUUUGACCACCACUGCAGCAAUUCAUUACCUCUUUCUUCCUUUUGUUUGUUUUUUCUCAUACAAUAUAUCCUGACAGUAACCUCUGCUCCCUCCCCUCCCUCCAUUCUUCCCAGCACUUCUGCUCUUUCCUUUGUUCCCCAAGUCCACUGCUCCUUCCCUUCCCUUUAGAAAAAAAGCAUGUCUUCCAGGGAUAUCAACCAAAUAUGCCAUAACAAGUUGCAAUAAGACUAGGCACAAACCCACAUAUCAAGGCUGGACAGGCAAGUUAGUAUGAGGAAAACGGACCCAAGAGCAGGCAAAAUAGUCAGAGAUACUCCCCACCCCCACUGCAAAGAAUCCCACAGGAACCACAAGCUAAACAAUCAGGACAUACAUACAAAAGUACUAGCUCAGACCCUGUGAUUGCCGCUUCAGUCUCUCUGAACCUCUAUAAGCCCCACUUAGUUGAUUGUGUGGACUGUCUUCUUUCUUUUAAGUGGUCACUAUCAUUCCCAUGCCUAGUGGUGCUCAGUAAAGCAGUUGUCUCAUUUUGGGACACUGUUAGGAACUAUGAGUUGCAGAGGAGGCCUUUGAUAACACCUAGAAAUAUUUUUGAUUGCCAUGAUUAGGGGAUGGGCUACUAUUGGAAUUUAGCAAUAAGAGGCACGGGGUGCUUAUAAAUGUCUUACAACAUAGAAGAUAUGAUCCGCACCCAGCAAUAAAGUGUAUUCAGGGCCAAAUGUCAGUAGUUUCCAGUAUUAUAUCAGAAGACAAGUGGAAACUAUCUUCUCUCUUUCUGUUUCCUAUUUCUAUCUUAAAUGUAAAACUUGUAGUCCUAAUUUUCACUUCCUAUAGUAGACUUCUGCCCUGCAGACAGCUCCCAGCACUAAGGCAGGUGCUCAGGAAAUGGUGAUUUAUUUUCAGUCCUUUGUCAACUAUCAUUAAGGUAAAGUCCAGUUUGGUACACACGGCAAACUAUUUGACUCCCGUAAAUUCUUUCUGGGGAUACUUUCCAUUGUACAACAGAAGGCCAACAGAAAAAGAAACAGAGUUCUCUCUCUCUUGUAUAUGUUCUUAAUUUCUUCUAUUUUUUUAAGAUUAUAAAAGAUUAUACGAUUUCCUCUUCCCCUUCCAUUUCCUCGCUCCAAAUCCUUCAAUAUGCCUUUCCAUUUUUCCUCUCUUGAAAAUAUAUACCUUUGUAUUUUAUUAAGUUGUUGUUACAUGCAUAUAUAAAUAAAUAGAUAUGCCUAAGAAUGACAUGUUCGGUCUGUAUAAUCUUAAUUGUAUGUAUGCUUGCAGGACUGAGCAUUUGGUGUUGGAUAACUAAUUGAUGUGCUUUUUCUUUCCUGGGGAGACUAUGUCUCCUCCCUCACCAUUUCUAUAGUUCCUUGUGUAGAGUUGAUGCCUCUUUGUCCUGUCUACUUUGGCAUAGCUAUUGUUGUCCUGGGUCACCUUGUGUUUAGGAGUUUAUGUUAGUGAGGCUUUACGGGUGUUAGCAUCUGACAUUGCUAGGAGACACAAUUCCCAGCAACUCCUCUUAUCUUCCUGUUCUUCUGGCCCUGUCUUCUGCAAUAUUCCCUGAGCUUUAGGUAUGGGAGUUGUUUACUUCACUUAAAGAGUGG